CUCGACCUUUCGUUCUCACCCACAGCCUAGCACCAUCUUGUCUUGCCCACGAGAGAAGCAAACUCAAGAUCCACAUCGCCUAAUCGCCUUGCGUCAGUGCUUCUGCUUGCUGUCUGCCGCGGCUGCACGGAUGAGAGAAGUUGCAUCCUUCUGACUCUGUUGCUCGCCUUCAGACACCCGUCCGUCGCCUCUAACACCGGUGCGUUGUUUGGUCUUCCCUGUGAGUUCGCAGCCACCGCUAGCUGCGAGGAGGCGCACAAAAAAGACGUCGAGGCUGCCGCUGUCCCACAUGUAUUUGUAUAUUUUCUUCAUGGUCGAGAUUUGCAGGUAAUGACCGAUUCUCUUAAGCGUUGGCUAAAAUUGUGUUUUGUCAUUGUAAUUUCUGAAGAAAAUAGUAUCCGUAAAUGUAAAUCCAAGAUUCUCAUUCAAACCUAAUAGUACCAAGCAAAAUAGUUAACAACCUAAUGUUUAGAAUACUAGGGAAACAUAGUAUAGAAAUCUGGACUAAAUGGCUGAAUUGGGCUAUGUUGCUGCAGUGCUUGGUUUUGCUAGAACAUUGACAUCAGAUUAACCCAGGGUGGGGGCACUGAUGCACCUUCAACAACAUUCUCUGUUGUAUGCAUGUGGUUUCGGUUGUUGGGGAUCUCCAAGUGGCCUUGAAAUUGUUGUACCAUCUCUGAUGCUUGUGGAUGUGGUGGUGGUGCUUGCGCCAUAGUAUUAGUGUCUUUUUUAUCCUUUUCCUGUUUCGUGAUGAUUUCUCUAAGCCACCAAUAGGUCUUGCUGAUCCACGAAUUUCCUUUGCCUUGACCUUGACACCCCUUGGCUUCCUAGCACUACAGGAAACGCCUAAAUUUUCGUAGGCCGAUAUAUUUUCGUCGGCCGGCCCACGAAAAUAGAAGGUUAUUUUCGUCGGCCUUUGGGGCCGACGAAAAUACGGCCUAUUUUCGUGGGCCCGGGCAUAUGUUCGUCGGCAGGCCCACAAAAAUAAGGGCGCUAUUUUCGUCGGCCUAGUAACCGACGAAAAUAGUUGUUAUUUACGUGGGCCGGGGCUGUGCCGACGACAAUACGCCAUCUAUUUUCAUCGGCUUUAGGGGGGCCGACGAAAAUACGACAUUUAUUUUCGUCGGCCCCAAUGCGGCCGACGAAAAUAGACGCCCUAAAUCGUCCCGGACGCGCGACCGCACCUUCUCUCUCCCUCUCGCUCCUUUCUCUGUUUUGAGCGCCGCCGCACGCCGAACUCCGUCCGUCGCGCGCGCCGUCGCCUGCCCUCGUCGUCCGUCGCGCGCGCCCUCGCCUGACCUCGCCGUGCGUCGCGCGCUCGCCGCCGCACUCGCCUGCCCUCGCCGCCGCACUGCCCGAGGUCUCCUGCCCUCGCGCGCUCGCCGCCCUCGCGCGCUUGACGCCGCACGCUCCUGCACUCGCCUGCCCUCGCCGCCGCACUCUCCUUCCCUCGCCUCCCCUCGCCGUCGCGUGCGCCCGCCUGCCCUCGCCAUCGCGCCCCGCCUGCCCUCGCCGUCCGUCGCGCGCGCCCGUCCGUCCACGCCGAGCUCGACUGUCCACGCCGUCCGUCGCGUGCGCCCGCCGUCAGUCCACGCCGAGCUCCGUCGCGCGCGCCCGCCGUCCGUCCACGCCGAGAUCCGUCGCGCGCGCCCGCCGUCCGUCCACGACGCCCUCGUUCCCCGCGGUGAGCCUCCCCGUCUCCCUUCUUCCCCCUCUGUCAUGUACAGCGAAUUCGUCUUCGGCGCUCGCUGAUUUGGUAUUCGUCCGUCCGGCCUGUGCCAAGUGGCUGGGGGAGGGACGUGGCUGCGGCCUGCGACUUGGCGCUAGCUAGCUAGCGGGGCGCGACGGGGAGGAGAGGGCUGCCGCCAGCCAGCCGAGGACCGAUGGUUCUUGGACUCCAAUCCACACCCAACUACAUCAUUUCCUUGCUUGCCGAAGUGUGCUACCACAUAUGUUUGUCUCAUGCCACUCGUUGGAGUUUGGUGAGAACAAUAGUGUUGUCGUGAUUGAGCUUGGCAUGAGUGGCGAAGAGGUUGGCAGUGAGAGACUUAGCGCUAGCUAGCUAGCGAGACGCGACGGGGAGGAGAGGGCUGCCGCCAGCUAGCCGAGGACCGGCGUCACGGACCCGUCAGCGCACAUGCGGGACUGACGACGAGUCCGGCCAGCCGGUCGGGGUCGGACCGCUUCGGCACACGCGUAUUUGGACCGUAGCGAACCAUUAUUUUUUAAUGUUUAUUUUUUAAUUCAUAUUUGUCUCUGAGUUAACCGUAGCAAACCGUAUGCGUCACCCGUUCGGGAACGGCGAACGUCACAUUGGCUUGUGAGGUUCGCUGUUCCGGAAUUGUCCACGUAUUUUGGACAGCCUAAGAGUGUAGGCCGAUGCUUGUGAUUUGUGACAUGUGCCUUACGAUUGACGCGGAAUUUCGGUUGUGUAACCCAGUUGUUCUCCAACACACCAUGUUCAGGCGUGUGCUUGGAGAGCAGCGGGGUUAUGCUGCCGAAAUUUCGCGGCAAUCGUAGGCUACACGACACAAAUCACAAGCAUCGGCGUACACUCUUGGGUGGGUUUAGGGCCUUUACCUAAUAGGGAGUUCACCUAAGCCAUGGACGAUCGUUGAUGUUCUUUGUCUUUUGUUUAGCCUUUGAAAUGGACGGUGAUCGGAGGAUGAUGUAUGACAGGUGGAGAAAGGAUGGGGCACAUUCGAAUGAAUGGAUGGGUGUAACAAAGGCUUUUCUUGAGCACGCUUUCAAAGAUGCAACUGGUCGUCUAGUGAAGUGUCCUUGCAAUCGCUGCGAGAACAAGUGGCCUCAGAAGAAGGAAGAAAUGGAGAAACACCUUUGCAAAAGUGGGUUUAUGCCGAACUACCUUGUAUGGUACCGACAUGGAGAGUCUAUUAGACACGUUGACGCGGAGGUGGAACUUGAUGACGAUCAUGAUAGGAUGGACGACAUGUUGCAUGAUCUUGGUAGGGAUGUUGAAAUGAACGCUGAGGAGCCGGGGCAGCUUCCACGCGAUGCUCAAGAAUUCUUCCGGCUACUCGCCGCGGGAGAAGAGAGACUGCACGAGCACACUCAGAUGUCAGUUCUUGGGACUCUCACAAGACUAAUGGCGAUAAAGUCGAGGCACAACAUUUCAAACAGUGCUUACAACGACAUCGUCCAACUGAUGGGCGAGGUUCUCCCGGAAUAUGUUCCCAGGUUAUUUUCGUCGGCCACCACCUAGGCCGACGAAAAUAGCCUGCACGUAUUUUCGUCGGCCACCACCGGCCGACGACAAUUGAUGGUCGACUGCCUAUUUUUGUCGGCUUUGGGAAAGCCGACGAAAAUAGCCGCCUAUUUUCGUCGAACUUAUUUUCGGCGGCUAUUUUCGUCGGCCUGCCGACGAAAAUACUCUAUUUUCGUCGGUUUAGGCUUAUUUUCGUGGGUUUUUGGCCCACGAAAAUUUAGGCGUUUCCUGUAGUGUAGUCUGCACAGUUUCCUUUGAGCCUGUAAAUAAUUACAUUAGGAGGUGCAACAAUGAAAACAAUAGUUAAAUGAAAUGUUAAUAAUAUAUUUAUGUGAUAUAUUGUAGGUACCUCGUGGAGUAGAGGAACUGUUCAGGUUUGAGCUAGGCUUAAUCUUCAAAUUAUUCUCUGUCUUCUGCCAAUUUCUCAGCUGUUUGUGUACAAAUACUAUAAGUUUCUUCAGAUUCUGCAGCUCGAGCGAGUAUACAAUUGUAAACUCGUGUUAAGUUACUGAAGCGAUUCGAUAACUGGACUUUAGGAUCAUCAUGCAUGGUAAGUGUGCUAGGUAUAUGUACCACUUUUGCACCAAUUGUCCACCUCUUUAGUAUGUAUUCCUCAGGAACUGAUUUAAUACUAUUGAUAUCCAGUAUCUUUAGUGCAUGAGAGCAUAGGAUUCCAGCAAAUUCAAAUUUCUUGCAGCUGCACCUCACUUUUAACUCCAAAGGUGAGAACUUAACAGUAUGUUCAUGAUGCUUUCCAUGAACUUUUACUUUAUACACAUUCUCUGCACCAUCAUCGCCACAACAAAAGAAGUAACAAUUUAAAGUUUGCAACACCUGUUCCUCAAAUAAUCUAAACACCACUGGUGUAUACACUUUUGCUGCUUGCUUUAAUAUUGUCAAUUCUGCCUUUGGCACAGGUGUGCUCUGUGUUGCUUUGAAGUCACUUGUAACUUCUUCAUAUCGUUUGUCCCUAAGCAGACUGUCAAAGUGCUCAAAAAAAGUAAGCAUGUCAUACUUUACACUGAUGUAGCCUUUUAUUUCAUUGUUUAAGCUUUCAUUUCUUUGUGUAGAACUCAUAUCAGCUGAGAAUGAGUUUCUACCAUAUACUAGUGCCCAAUGAUAUCUUUUUCAAAAAGGCAUUUCAGCCAAAUGUUACCUUGAAGCUCAAACCUCUCAAGCAAUAUGUUCCAUGCAUGUAUAAAAUCAUCCUCUUCUUCUGACCUACUGGCACAUGCACCGUGUCUCUGACCUACUAGCACUCUUAUUUUUGUCAACUGAAUUUGACCUUUUGUCAAAACGACGAGCUCCUGUUAGUGUCAAAAAUUGGUUCAGAUUACAUGGUCAUAGGAUCAGUUAUUGUAAUAAGAAUAGUUGACGUCAAAUACCUUCACGGGAGCAACAAAAUACCCUAGUCUUGAUAUUUAAAGAAGUCCCCACAUAAUGGCAGUCGUUCCUUCGGAUACUGAAACCUAUCUCUCUAGCAUAAGCAUUAUAAAAGUCAUAUGCCUCUUGCUCAGAGUUAAAUUUCAUUCCAAUUUUUGGAACCAUGUCUUCUGGACAAUUAUUCACUAUAGAUGCACCAAUUUCUUCGAUCUCCUAAUUUAAAGGGAUGUGCAGAAUGAAGUUAGUAGUAAGGAUGUACCUAACAUGUUGGUUUCAGGUUUUAUUCAAUGGAUGCAUCCAGGUUCUAGGAGAGAAUCAUGAGUAAACUUGUUGGCAGGAUUUAAAAUUGAAAAACAUAUCAUUCACCUGUUCACCCUCAAGAUGGGACUCUACGCCAGGAUGGUCCUCGAAACCAUCCGCUUCUCUAGCACCAGGGCGCAUCAUCGGCAGGCGUUGAGUUGAGAGAUUAGGGGAGCAAAAACUUUAUUAUUGUAGGCGUUGAUUUGAGAGAAUGAAUACAUCAUGAUGUGUGGGGAAAAGAAAGGAUGAGAAAAGGCGGGAAUGG
This 5174-nucleotide long non-coding RNA is filed under the name Zea mays. RNAcentral's name for it is "long non-coding RNA (ZMAY_LNC003916)". Lineage: Eukaryota; Viridiplantae; Streptophyta; Magnoliopsida; Poales; Poaceae. The record is from RNAcentral.